Molecule: non-coding RNA, 3393 nt
Filed under: Pan troglodytes (chimpanzee)
Lineage: Eukaryota; Metazoa; Chordata; Mammalia; Primates; Hominidae
Source: RNAcentral
GAUGCCGGGAGGGGCAGAUGUGGAUUCACGUGGCUCUCGGCCCCCAUGGGCUGGUAUUGGGCCUCCUCGGGAGCAGCCUGAGAGUGCUCAUUCUUGGCCAAAUCUUGUGAUUCAUCCUCAAUGCUUCUGGAACCCACAAGCCACCCAGCCUCACUUUCUAAAAAUAUGAUUGAGAAAGCAAGACAGAGUUUGGGACGGAGGUUUCUCCAGCGGAGCAGCGCCCUGGCAUCCUGUGGAACAUAUUGUGAGUGUUCACAGCCGAGGAAGUAAGAUGACCGGGAUGUCAUUUUCAAAGAGGAAAUGGGCCCCACCCCAACAGGGCCACCGAGGGAGAAUCGCAGGAGGCAGCUCCCCCAAAACUGGGAGAAGGUCAGGCCUGGGUUCCCCCAUACCGUCAUGGUCUUGAGUCAGAAACCAGAGAUUUGUAAACAGCAUCAAAAGCCUUCACUUCUUUCUGCAGCCUUAAAGUUUGAACUUUACUUACAUUUCAGACAUGAAAAGUACACCAAGAAAGCCACCAUGGUGAGUUUUAGGCAGAGACCCUCUUGUGAACAAUUCGUCUAUGAUCCAAGAUGGCCAGACAAGAAUCAGGGCCCAAGCUUUUUCUCCCCAGUGUCACGUCCACCCUGCUGUCUCCUCUCCAGCUCAGACCAAAAUUCUCUGGACAUUUUCAUGGCUGAAAACCCCACCAGAACGCUGGCCCUGACAGGACCCUCUCCUCAAGUCCUGAGGACCCGGCUGCGGCCGGCCAGAAUGUAAACUACAGCUCGCGGAAGCAGCAGGCAUGGAGGAAGAGGCAGGAGAGCAAGAGCAGAAGCUGGAAACCUUCAAAGGGAGCUCGAAGAACAAGGCCAGGAGAAGCAGCGGCCAGGCCCCACCGGUUUCCUCCUUUCCCUCCUGAAUCUAGGACGGAGGCCAUUUCAGACGAGAGAGGAAAGAACAACAAAACGAACCGCAGGAGAAGCAGCCGGAGCCAGCAAGGCCCAGCCAGAGACGGCAGAGGAGAGAACCGCAAGCCAGGAGCAAGGAGGAGACGGGCGGACUCCGCUAACCAACCGACGCAGCCUAGCGGAGACGGGCGGACUUCACAAACCGACGCCACCUGGAGAAAGUAAAUAUUUAACUGUCAGAAGGAAAACACUGUUUGAACAGUAGUGGCCUUAGGAAGAAGGCCCUAAUUUUUUGGAACACUGACCGGGGGCCAUUCUUUACCCAGAGCUACUAUGUCCCGCGCAAGGCAACACUGGCUGGAGCCCAGGAGGGCGGGGCAGCUGCAGACCCUCAGGAGCCUGUGCUGGCUCAGGGGGCGUGGGGAGAGUCCAGCGUGCACCAGAAGGAGGGAGGCCACCUCUCCUUGUGGCAUUAGGAGACCAGGGUCUCUGAAAGGGCGGGGACCACGGCCAGGCCAGAACCACCACAUCACCAGGCUGAAGGCUGGUUAACCUGGUGGAAUCAGCUGUCUUCAUGUUCAAACCAGCACAUGGGGCUAUUUUGCUCCAGUCACCUGGUGUGACAUGAGCCACUGAGACUCGAACACCCCUGCUCUGGAGCAAAGAAGAACCCACACCUCUGUCCUGCCUGGCAGCCUCCCCACCACUCGCUGGGGGCACGGGGUCCGUAUCCACUCGCCGGGGGCACGGGGUCCGUAUCCACUCGCCGGGGGCACGGGGUCCGUAUCCUCUCACCGGGGGCACGGGGUCCGUAUCCACUCGCCGGGGGCACGGGGUCCGUAUCCACUCGCUGGGGCGUGGGGUUCAUAUCCUGUCCUCUGUCUCCUCUAAGUGUCCCUUAAACUUAAGGCCAAUCCUAUGAUUUCCCUCUAAAAGCAUUCUUCCGAAUUCUACCCCAAAGAAACCAGUGACAUUUCUCAACAUCAGGCUUCCUAAUCUCUGCAGGCCGCCUGAAGAAAAAGAAGAGAUAUGUGUAUGGCCAUGCCAUUUGCAAAUAGAAGAAAAGCCUUUAACCGCCUCCUACCUUCAGCUGCUUUUGCCAAGCAGAGAAGGUCCAGAAAGCACCUUCAAAGGGGCUGGGAGCUCUGGCCCUGCCCAUCCACACAGCAAACACAGCAACCAGAAAUAACACGUUCACAGGGGCUGGAGGCUCCUGUCCUGCCCAUCCACACAGCAAACACAGCAACCAGAAAUAACACGUUCACAGGCUCCUCCUCCCUACUCCCAACUCAGCUGCAAAAGAGCUCAUAAAAUGAGAAUGGGCUCUAUGUAAGUAAACAGUACUCGAUCUACCAGUUUAUGACAUCAAAGACAUGUAGAGAGAAAAUACAUACACAGGUAAUAAUAACAAUGAUAAUUCUCAUACUAUUUUGUUAGAUUAGAAGCAUUUUUCCUGGACAGAAGCAACAUCACCUGGGGUCCCAGUGGAAAGCAGGGGCCGGGCGUGCUCCCUGUGACCAGGUCAGAGUGCAGAGCCCGCCUGGUGACCUCAUUUCCUUAGGGCAAUUGUACCUUCUGUCUGGAGCCAGGUCCCUCUUAAAGGUAGAAGAGUACAGAAAAUAAUUCACCAGAAGCGGGCAUGGUGCAUCCCCAGGAUGGAUCCUUCACCGCACCCGAGAACCCGCAGGAUGAGGCAGCUCUGCGCAAGCACCUGACCCCCUGCAGAGCUGAGAUGGCUGCUCGGGAACUAUGUCCCCCAGCAAAGCACAGAGCUGAGCCAGCUGCUUGGGGACUAUGUCCCCCAGGAAAGCACGUCUGAGUCUUGGGCUCCAGCUCCUGUGUAUGGGAUGUGAUUUGGAAAUGGUCUCCGAAGAGGGAAGCCAGUUAAAGAUGAGGCCAUCAGAGUGGCUCCUAAUCCAGGGACUGGUGUCCCUAAGAAGGAGACACUGGACAGAGACAGAAGUGCCCAGUGGGAAGGCGAGGCCAGAAUUCCUGAGAACACCUGGUGACCCAGCAGAGGUGGGAGGGAGGCCCCUGUAAGCUGAGGAAUGGCAGGGGUGUCAGGGCCACCAGAGGCUGGAGGAGGCAGGAAGGACCCUCUCUGGAGCCUUCAGAGAUGCACGGCCCCGCUAAGAUCUUGAUCUCAGACCCUGGGGGGUGCAGGGCCUGGAGAGCUUUGCACCGUUCUAAGCCUGCCAGUGUGCGGGGCUCCGUUGCCAAAGCCUUGGGCACUGCACGCACCAUCUCAGACCCUCUGGCCCCACACAGCCAGAGCUCAGCGAUGAGCCAGGCCCUCAGCUCUUCCUCAGGGCCCUCGUUUUCUCUCUCUGCAAGCCUUCUCCUUUCUAAACUGUUGUUGCUAAGUGAGAAAGAGAAGAGAAGGCAUCACGUUGAAUAAUAUCCUCAAGUGAUAAAUCUGCAGUAUCUGCUGAAGGUCCACAGAUAAUGUGUUUAAUUCGACAAACCAGGGACAAGAAUGAUGAAUAAAACACCGCUUGCUGAU